This 73-nucleotide transfer RNA is filed under the name Ipomoea nil (Japanese morning glory). It matches the Rfam family "tRNA". From Rfam's summary of the family: Transfer RNA (tRNA) molecules are approximately 80 nucleotides in length. Their secondary structure includes four short double-helical elements and three loops (D, anti-codon, and T loops). The record is from Rfam by way of RNAcentral. Lineage: Eukaryota; Viridiplantae; Streptophyta; Magnoliopsida; Solanales; Convolvulaceae.
GUGGGGAUAGCUCAGUUGGGAGAGCUUCAGACUGAAGAUCUGAAGGUCAUGUGUUCAAUCCACGUUUAGCGCA